This is a long non-coding RNA of Andrographis paniculata, 445 nucleotides long. RefSeq lists it as uncharacterized. Lineage: Eukaryota; Viridiplantae; Streptophyta; Magnoliopsida; Lamiales; Acanthaceae. The transcript is spliced from 3 exons. The record is from RefSeq and is a predicted model, not a curated record.
CUCAACACUUAGUUGGUUCAAGUUGCAGAACGAUUUCGACCGUCCAUUGUAAAAUCUGGACAGACCUCUUCUGCAGAAGAUCAGAAAAUCAAAUUCAGGAACAGAUUCAGUUACUUAAUCGGAAGAGCAUCUUCGAGCGCAGCCAAGGAAUCCAGCGUUCUCCGGCGAUUAGGUUGCGUCUCUCGUUCAUCAACAUCACUCUCUCCAUCGCUAGACGACGGCAGAGGAUGAGGAACAACAUCCUGAACAAUUUCCUUCCCCUCGCUGUCUCCGUCAACAUAACCGCCAUCGAUUCUCUCCAUUCCUUCAGCUUGUUUGCAAAAAUAACCAGGUACAAAUGUUGGAGAAAUUACCAGUGUCUUCUGCUUGCAAUACAGCCGGAGCCAUUUGAGCUUCCUGAGUUGGACGGGUAACGGGAGCAGAAGCUUUACCCUGAUUCAUCGAG